Molecule: ribosomal RNA, 465 nt
Filed under: uncultured bacterium
Lineage: Bacteria
Description: bacterial SSU rRNA
Rfam family: Bacterial small subunit ribosomal RNA
Source: RNAcentral
CUACGGGAGGCAGCAGUGGGGAAUUUUGGACAAUGGGGGCAACCCUGAUCCAGCCAUUCCGCGUGAGUGAAGAAGGCCUUCGGGUUGUAAAGCUCUUUCGGCAGGAACGAAACGGUGAGCUCUAACAUAGCUCGCUAAUGACGGUACCUGAAGAAGAAGCACCGGCUAACUACGUGCCAGCAGCCGCGGUAAUACGUAGGGUGCGAGCGUUAAUCGGAAUUACUGGGCGUAAAGCGUGCGCAGGCGGUUGUGUAAGACAGGUGUGAAAUCCCCGGGCUUAACCUGGGAACUGCGCUUGUGACUGCACGGCUAGAGUAUGGCAGAGGGGGGUGGAAUUCCACGUGUAGCAGUGAAAUGCGUAGAGAUGUGGAGGGACACCGAUGGCGAAGGCAGCCCCCUGGGCCAAUACUGACGCUCAUGCACGAAAGCGUGGGGAGCAAACAGGAUUAGAUACCCUGGUAGUCC